This 1143-nucleotide long non-coding RNA is filed under the name Anser brachyrhynchus (Pink-footed goose). RNAcentral describes it as "lncRNA (ENSABRG00000004945.1)". The record is from RNAcentral. Lineage: Eukaryota; Metazoa; Chordata; Aves; Anseriformes; Anatidae.
AUGGGGCCAAGAAUGCGCCGUGGCGGGGGUGAGAGCGGCCAGGGAGCGAGCGUGGGGGCACCUCGGGCUGGCCACAAGCGGCCCAUUGUGGCGGCCGGAGGCGGGCACCGCUCGGGCUGCCCAGGAGGACGGCAGCCACUCGGCGGAGAGGGCAGCGGCUCCUGGGGCACCCCGGCAGCCCCCAGCCCGGCGGCAGGCAAGCCAUGUUGGCCCUGCUCAGCCCAGCCUGAUCCCUGCCCUCGCGCCUCUGCUUGCAGCCUGCCAUGGAGGAGGACGUCUCCCCGGGCCCUCGCCCGGACGGCCCCAGCCGCAUCCCGGGCCCCCCGCCGCGGCGGUACGGCCCCUCUGGGACCCCCACCCAGCGGAGCUGCCUCUGGGUCACCCUGCGGCACGGGGGGGCCCCCUGGCAGCGGCUGCGGGGCCCGGCCCCCAUCACCCCCGUCCCCCCGCGGCCCCGGCACGCUCCGGGGCCUGGCGGGACUGAGGCUGCCCCAGCGGAGAAGAUGCCGGGCACCGGGGACCCACGCACCGGUGGGUCUGCGCUGCGGGUCGGGCCGGGGGCACCCGGGGGCUCGGUGUGGGGCAGGAUGGGGGGCACGGGGGCGUCCCCUCUUCCCCAGUGGUGCUGAGGAACAGAGGAGGUGCUGGGGGAGAGUGGCAUCCGGAGGGGAAAUGUGGCUGGCUGACCAGCAAGGUCCCAGAGCUGGCAACGUACCAGGAGCAGCGAAACUGUGGUGCCCCAGCAUGGCGUGGCCGUGGCACCUGGUGGGAACCGUCGGAGAAGGGAAGGGACAUCUCCCUCUGAAGCAGCCGGACCAGGCAGGAGGGCAGCCAGGUGACCCUCACGGCUCCCCAGACACAAAUGGCAGCACCCCGCCCCGCUGCCCGCACACGCGUGUGCACACGCACGCACGCACACCGGUACACACGCAGGGGAUGGCCGUGCCUCUGCACCCAGGGCCGGCAGCCAGCAAUCGCGGUGCCAAGGGAGGAGAGGUUUCUCACGCCUCCGCAAGCGGAGCUGAAGGGCAAAUCGGUCUCAACAAACCGUUCCCAAAUCCCCUCUCUCCAGGAGACCUUGCCAUCCCCCGACCCCAGCAAACACCCGUGGGGCUGAGUGGCUUCUCAGCCACGAGGGGUUAA